Molecule: transfer RNA, 83 nt
Filed under: Erysipelotrichaceae bacterium
Lineage: Bacteria; Bacillati; Bacillota; Erysipelotrichia; Erysipelotrichales; Erysipelotrichaceae
Description: tRNA-Leu
Rfam family: tRNA
About the family: Transfer RNA (tRNA) molecules are approximately 80 nucleotides in length. Their secondary structure includes four short double-helical elements and three loops (D, anti-codon, and T loops). Further hydrogen bonds mediate the characteristic L-shaped molecular structure. tRNAs have two regions of fundamental functional importance: the anti-codon, which is responsible for specific mRNA codon recognition, and the 3' end, to which the tRNAs corresponding amino acid is attached (by aminoacyl-tRNA synthetases). tRNAs cope with the degeneracy of the genetic code in two manners: having more than one tRNA (with a specific anti-codon) for a particular amino acid; and 'wobble' base-pairing, i.e. permitting non-standard base-pairing at the 3rd anti-codon position.
Source: RNAcentral
CCGGGUGUGGCGAAAUUGGCAGACGCGCUAGACUUAGGAUCUAGUGGGUGACCAUGGGGGUUCGAGUCCCUUCACCCGGACCA